RNAcentral lists this ribosomal RNA (253 nucleotides) under uncultured bacterium. Its description in RNAcentral is "partial 16S ribosomal RNA". It matches the Rfam family "Bacterial small subunit ribosomal RNA", at positions 524 to 776 of the family's 1533-position model. The record is from RNAcentral.
UACGUAGGGUGCGAGCGUUGUCCGGAUUUAUUGGGCGUAAAGAGCUCGUAGGCGGCUCGUCGCGUCGACCGUGAAAACUUGGGGCUUAACCCUAAGCUUGCGGUUGAUACGGGCGGGCUAGAGUUCGGUAGGGGAGACUGGAAUUCCUGGUGUAGCGGUGAAAUGCGCAGAUAUCAGGAGGAACACCGGUGGCGAAGGCGGGUCUCUGGGCCGAUACUGACGCUGAGGAGCGAAAGCGUGGGGAGCGAACAGG